UACGAAGGGGGCUAGCGUUGCUCGGAAUCACUGGGCGUAAAGCGCACGUAGGUGGGUCGUUAAGUCAGGGGUGAAAUCCUGGAGCUCAACUCCAGAACUGCCUUUGAUACUGGCGAUCUUCGAGUCCGGGAGAGGUGAGUGGAACUGCGAGUGUAGAGGUGAAAUUCGUAGAUAUUCGCAAGAACACCAGUGGCGAAGGCGGCUCACUGGCCCGGUACUGACGCUAAGGCGCGAAAGCGUGGGGAGCGAACAGG
Molecule: ribosomal RNA, 254 nt
Filed under: uncultured bacterium
Lineage: Bacteria
Description: partial 16S ribosomal RNA
Rfam family: Bacterial small subunit ribosomal RNA
Source: RNAcentral